This 403-nucleotide ribosomal RNA is filed under the name Verrucomicrobiota bacterium. RNAcentral's name for it is "Verrucomicrobia bacterium partial 16S ribosomal RNA". It matches the Rfam family "Bacterial small subunit ribosomal RNA", at positions 355 to 776 of the family's 1533-position model. The record is from RNAcentral. Lineage: Bacteria; Pseudomonadati; Verrucomicrobiota.
UGGGGAAUAUUGCACAAUGGGGGAAACCCUGAUGCAGCGACGCCGCGUGAGCGAUGAAGGCUUUCGAGUCGUAAAGCUCUGUCCUAUGGGAAGAUAAUGACGGUACCAUAGAAGAAAGCCCCGGCUAAUUACGUGCCAGCAUCCGCGGUAAUACGUAGGUGGCGAGCGUUAUCCGGAUUUACUGGGCGUAAAGGGCGUGUAGGCGGCUAGAUAAGUGUGAUGUUUAAAUCCAAGGCUUAACCUUGGGGUUCAUUACAAACUGUUUAGCUUGAGUGCUGGAGAGGAUAGUGGAAUUCCCAGUGUAGCGGUGAAAUGAGUAGAUAUUGGGAGGAACACCAGUAGCGAAGGCGGCUUUCUGGACUGCAACUGACACUGAGGCACGAAAGCGUGGGUAGCAAACAGG